GACGAACGCUGGCGGCGUGCCUAAUACAUGCAAGUCGAACGAGAGCGACCGGUGCUUGCACUGGUCAAUCUAGUGGCGAACGGGUGAGUAACACGUGGGUAACCUGCCCAUCAGAGGGGGAUAACAUCCGGAAACGGAUGCUAAAACCGCAUAGGUCUUCGAGCCGCAUGGCUUGAAGAGGAAAAGAGGCGCAAGCUUCUGCUGAUGGAUGGACCCGCGGUGCAUUAGCUAGUUGGUGAGGUAACGGCUCACCAAGGCCGUGAUGCAUAGCCGACCUGAGAGGGUGAUCGGCCACAUUGGGACUGAGACACGGCCCAAACCCCUACGGGAGGCAGCAGUAGGGAAUCUUCCGCAAUGGACGCAAGUCUGACGGAGCAACGCCGCGUGAGUGAAAAAGGUUUUCGGAUCGUAAAACUCUGUUGUUAGAGAAGAACAAGUGCUAGAGUAACUGUUAGCGCCUUGACGGUAUCUAACCAGAAAGCCACGGCUAACUACGU
RNAcentral lists this ribosomal RNA (497 nucleotides) under uncultured bacterium. RNAcentral's name for it is "partial 16S ribosomal RNA". It matches the Rfam family "Bacterial small subunit ribosomal RNA", at positions 28 to 506 of the family's 1533-position model. The record is from RNAcentral.